Long non-coding RNA from Juglans microcarpa x Juglans regia, 1431 nucleotides. RefSeq lists it as uncharacterized. The transcript is spliced from 2 exons. The record is from RefSeq and is a predicted model, not a curated record. Lineage: Eukaryota; Viridiplantae; Streptophyta; Magnoliopsida; Fagales; Juglandaceae.
UUCGUGCUUAUUUUAGAAUUAAAGAGUAGAUAACAAUUACUGGAGUUCUUAACAAAAAAUGAACUUGGGGCCUAAACUUGUUAUUAUAUAUAUAUAUAUAUAACUUGUCUCAAGAUUUUCUCAUUGGUGUGGCAAGCCUGUUGUUUAUCUUUCUCUAAGGUGUUUGAAGACCCAUGUCUUCUUAUUGAUCUUACUUAGUCUUGGAGAAAAACAUUGAUUAGGAAGUUGUUUUUAGACAGAUUCUGUAAUUUUUGAAUCUGUUGUUGUUGGCAGUUGGGCAUGGCUAUAGUUUAGUUUCAAUAGUGAGAACAUAAUUUGUCUUUUGUUUUUGUAGGAGUAUUGCUUCCUAUGUCUUGGUCCACUAGAAUGAAAAUUGCAUUUGGAGUUGCAAAAGGACUUGCCUUUCUCCAUGAAGCUGAGAAACCUGUCAUCUAUCGUGAUUUUAAGACGUCUAAUAUUCUGUUAGACUUGGUUAGUAUACGAACUGAAUAAUUGUUGAAGAAAUGAAAUCAAGUAAUUAUUUGGCUUCCCUUUGUUUCAUAUCAUAGAAAAAUACACCAGAGGUUGUUGCGAACUGGUUAACAACAGAGGCUGGAAUGCGUUGCACUUUGCGGUGGAGGGCGAUGCUUGUACAGUGAGUAUUAUCCUUAAACUUUCAUCUCUCAGCAAUCUUUUGAAAGAGAAGAACGCCGAAGGGAACACUUCUCUCCAUCACCAAUAUUCCCGCUAUUCCGAGGACGUGAAUGGGGCUCUCAUGGAUCACCCCAGAGUAGAUAAAAUGGGUUUCAACAAAAAUAACCUCAAUGCUUAUCAAGUCGCUUUAACUAGUGCAAAGUUAUCGCCAAAAAAGGGUAUUCCUCAAGGAGCACGAAAACAAUGUCACCCUGGAUGACAUUAUGAAGGACGAGGUGAAGUGGUGGCAGGUAAGGAGGAAAUAAUUUUUGGAGAAAGCAGUCGAAACACACUUGUUAGUGGAUGCCCUCAUGACAACCUUGACCUUUGCCGCAGCUAUAACCAUGCCUAGUGGUUUUGUUGGUACUAGAGGUGACCCACAUUAUGAAGGCUCUGCAGUUUUGAGGAGAAAUGCUACUUUUAAAGCAUUCAUUAUCAUAGAUGCCAUAUCCUUGGUGCUAUCUAGUUCUAUUGUUGUUACCCAUCUACUUAUGCCACUUUUGUUGAUCAAACAUUCUGAAUCUGAUGAAACUCGCUACGAUUUUCUCAGCCUAACCUUCAAGUUUAUUUUGAUGGCCAUGGGAGCAAUGGUGCUGGCAUUUAUCACAGGUAUAUAUGCUAUGUUAGUGAAUUCCUUAGAUCUUCUGGUCACCACUUGUGUUAUUGGCUAAUGUUUUUUCCUCAUUCUCUAUAUUAUAUAUGAAUUGUAUAAGAAGAAUAUAGGUUUCUCCAGGAUAUAUUCAAGUUUAUAUUACUUUU